CCUACGGGAGGCAGCAGUAAGGAAUAUUGGUCAAUGGAGGCAACUCUGAACCAGCCAUGCCGCGUGCAGGAUGACGGCCCUAUGGGUUGUAAACUGCUUUUAUACAAGAGAAAACCCUGGUACGUGUACCAGGUUGAUAGUAUUGUAAGAAUAAGCAUCGGCUAACUUCGUGCCAGCAGCCGCGGUAAGACGAAGGAUGCAAGCGUUAUCCGGAUUCAUUGGGUUUAAAGGGUGCGUAGGCGGACUGAUAAGUCAGUGGUGAAAUCUCUUUGCUUAACAAAGAAACUGCCAUUGAUACUGUCGGUCUAGAGUAUAGAUGACGUUGGCGGAAUAUGACAUGUAGUGGUGAAAUACUUAGAUAUGUCAUAGAACACCGAUUGCGAAGGCAGCUAACGAAACUAUAACUGACGCUGAGGCACGAAAGUGCGGGGAUCAAACAGGAUUAGAUACCCUGGUAGUCCGCACCGUAAACGAUGAUUACUCGUUGUUGGCGAUAUGACAGUCAGCGACCAAGCGAAAGCGAUAAGUAAUCCACCUGGGGAGUACGCCGGCGACGGUGAACGUCGAAAGGAAGUUAGACGG
RNAcentral lists this ribosomal RNA (582 nucleotides) under uncultured bacterium. Its description in RNAcentral is "bacterial SSU rRNA". It matches the Rfam family "Bacterial small subunit ribosomal RNA", at positions 338 to 916 of the family's 1533-position model. The record is from RNAcentral.